Molecule: long non-coding RNA, 991 nt
Filed under: Homo sapiens (human)
Lineage: Eukaryota; Metazoa; Chordata; Mammalia; Primates; Hominidae
Description: HSALNT0010873
Source: RNAcentral
GUACACUGUGGUCUGCCUCUUUGAGGACGUAGGUCUAUACAAGUACAUGGCCUGGUUAGGAACCUUCACUUUCACAAGUGGAUGCCAAGUUCUUAGGUGUACAUCCGCAUCUAAUCAGAAGUAUAGAGUUUCAGCUGUUGGAGCCAAAUGUGUGAUCCCCCUCCAGAAAAGACUUGAGUCUUUACAGUUGGAAUUUCCGUGUCGUGAGUGACAGGAUCUUGGUCCAUCACCCAGGCUGGAAUACAGUGGUGCAAUUAUAGUUCACUGCGGCCUCAAAUUCCUGCACUCAACAGAUCCUCCCACCUCAGCCUCGCAACUGGCUGGGACUACAGGGAUGCACCACCACACCUGGCUAAUUUUUAACUCUUUCGUAGGAAUGAGGUCUUGCUGUGUUGCCCAGGCUGGUCUCGAACUCUGGGGGUCAAGAGAUCCUCCCAUCUCGGCCUUCCAAAGUGUUGGGAUUACAGGCACGCACCACCACACCUGGCUACAUGCCUAAUUUAACAUGAGCUAGAGUUAGGUUUGGCCAUCCCUAGUGUUCAGUGGAGUUGUAGAGUUAGUCUCAAAUGCCAGAGUGAAAGUCCUUGCCUAUCACUCCCUCAUGGGGUAACCAUGGUGGAGCUGCCCAAUUUCCUCAUCUCAGAAGUGAAUAUAAUAGCUUCUACCUCAUAGGGUUGUUGUGAGAAUUGCAUGAGGAAACCAUGGAAAGGAAUUCAUAGAGUACUUAGAAAGGCAGUAAGUACAGGGACAGAUUUGGGUUUCAUGGGACUUGAAGACUACACAACUUCGGAAGCCCUCUUUAAUGAAAAGAAGAUAAAUCUUACUUUUGCAAGUUUUAUAUGAAUAUGUGACUAUGUGAACACAUUGCUCAGGUCCUCCCCUCGCCCGCACACAAGGUCUAGAAAAAGGCUUAUUAAAGUGAGACAUCCUGAAGCUUAAGCGUCACCAGCUUCAAGUUCAACCCACCUCUGAAUAAAUGCUUCAAAUAAAU